This 71-nucleotide transfer RNA is filed under the name Klebsiella phage May. RNAcentral describes it as "tRNA-Tyr". It matches the Rfam family "tRNA". From Rfam's summary of the family: Transfer RNA (tRNA) molecules are approximately 80 nucleotides in length. Their secondary structure includes four short double-helical elements and three loops (D, anti-codon, and T loops). RNAcentral also lists the same sequence under 9 other names. Lineage: Duplodnaviria; Heunggongvirae; Uroviricota; Caudoviricetes; Pantevenvirales; Ackermannviridae. The record is from RNAcentral.
GUUGAAUAACGCUGAGGCAAAGCGACUCGCCUGUAAGGCAGGUAUCCCAGGUUCGAAUCCUGGAUUCAACA